GAUGAACGCUGGCGGCGUGCCUAAUACAUGCAAGUCGAGCGAACGGACGAGAAGCUUGCUUUUCUGAUGUUAGCGGCGGACGGGUGAGUAACACGUGGAUAACCUACCUAUAAGACUGGGAUAACUUCGGGAAACCGGAGCUAAUACCGGAUAAUAUUUUGAACCGCAUGGUUCAAAAGUGAAAGACGGUCUUGCUGUCACUUAUAGAUGGAUCCGCGCUGCAUUAGCUAGUUGGUAAGGUAACGGCUUACCAAGGCAACGAUGCAUAGCCGACCUGAGAGGGUGAUCGGCCACACUGGAACUGAGACACGGUCCGGACUCCUACGGAAGGCAGCAGUAGGGAAUCUUCCGCAAUGGGCGAAAGCCUGACGGAGCAACGCCGCGUGAGUGAUGAAGGUCUUCGGAUCGUAAAACUCUGUUAUUAGGGAAGAACAUAUGUGUAAGUAACUGUGCGCAUCUUGACGUUACCUAAUCAGAAAGCCACGGCUAACUACUG
RNAcentral lists this ribosomal RNA (496 nucleotides) under uncultured bacterium. RNAcentral's name for it is "partial 16S ribosomal RNA". It matches the Rfam family "Bacterial small subunit ribosomal RNA", at positions 28 to 506 of the family's 1533-position model. The record is from RNAcentral.